UCAGGAAUGUAUUUGAACAUCACCAUAGGAAAGGUUUUUGAGUUUGUGCAAAGGUUUUAACGGUACACAGACAUGGCUAGGGUGAUCCCAUAGCUAUUAGCUACUAGACAAAAGUUUCUCACUUGAAGUAAGGAAACUGUGUUAGCUUGAAAUGUUUUACAGGGUGGGAAUCCAAAUCCAGGCUGAUAGUAUCUGUGGAUCUCCUGUACCCAACAGACUGUCACUGGAGAGCACCAGAUUCCCUGAUGAGGUUGGCUACGAGACUCCUAAGACUUUUGAAGUGCAGGAUGGCCACACUGAAUCAGAGCAGUGUCCUGUCUGGAAGGUGCUAGGCUGAGACCUU
RNAcentral lists this long non-coding RNA (343 nucleotides) under Dromaius novaehollandiae (emu). RNAcentral's name for it is "lncRNA (ENSDNVG00000001732.1)". Lineage: Eukaryota; Metazoa; Chordata; Aves; Casuariiformes; Dromaiidae. The record is from RNAcentral.